UUAAUAGAAGCCAAAGUAGAGGCGUAUCACUGUUAAUGAUAUCAUUGGGUGCUCUCUCCUAUUAAG
This 66-nucleotide transfer RNA is filed under the name Gebiacantha plantae. RNAcentral describes it as "tRNA-Asn". Lineage: Eukaryota; Metazoa; Arthropoda; Malacostraca; Decapoda; Upogebiidae. The record is from RNAcentral.